CCUGGCGGCUGUAGCGCGGUGGUCCCACCUGACCCCAUGCCGAACUCAGAAGUGAAACGCCGUAGCGCCGAUGGUAGUGUGGGGUCUCCCCAUGCGAGAGUAGGGAACUGCCAGAC
RNAcentral lists this ribosomal RNA (116 nucleotides) under Citrobacter freundii. Lineage: Bacteria; Pseudomonadati; Pseudomonadota; Gammaproteobacteria; Enterobacterales; Enterobacteriaceae. RNAcentral also lists the same sequence under 27 other names. The record is from RNAcentral.